This 429-nucleotide ribosomal RNA is filed under the name uncultured bacterium. Its description in RNAcentral is "bacterial SSU rRNA". It matches the Rfam family "Bacterial small subunit ribosomal RNA", at positions 1145 to 1533 of the family's 1533-position model. The record is from RNAcentral.
GGAACUGCCGGUGACAAGCCGGAGGAAGGUGGGGAUGACGUCAAGUCCUCAUGGCCCUUAUGUCCUGGGCUACACACGUGCUACAAUGGCGGUGACAACGGGAAGCCAGGUCGCGAGGCCGAGCCGAUCCUGAAAAGCCGUCUCAGUUCAGAUUGCACUCUGCAACUCGGGUGCAUGAAGGUGGAAUCGCUAGUAAUCGCGGAUCAGCAUGCCGCGGUGAAUACGUUCCCGGGCCUUGUACACACCGCCCGUCACACCAUGGGAGUUGGUUCGACCUUAAGUCGGUGCGCCAACCUGAGCAAUCAGGAGGUAGCCGAUCACGGUCGGGUUAGCGACUGGGGUGAAGUCGUAACAAGGUAGCCGUAGGGGAACCUGCGGCUGGAUCACCUCCUUUCAAGGAAUUGUCCUGACGGCACGGUCGCGAGAUCG